This 1917-nucleotide ribosomal RNA is filed under the name human gut metagenome. RNAcentral describes it as "bacterial LSU rRNA". It matches the Rfam family "Bacterial large subunit ribosomal RNA", at positions 532 to 2469 of the family's 2925-position model. The record is from RNAcentral.
AGGGGAGUGAAAGAGAACCUGAAACCUUGUGCUUACAAACAGUCAAAGGCCUACGGGCUGAUGGCGUACUUUUUGUAGAACGGUCCGGCGAGUUACUAAUGCCAGCGAGGUUAAGAUGUCAGAAGCAUCGGAGCCGAAGGGAAACCAAGUCUGAAUAGGGCGUAGAGUUGGUAUUAGUAGACCCGAAACCGGGUGACCUAUCCAUGUCCAGGUUGAAGGAACCGUAAAAGGUUUUGGAGGACCGAACACACAUGUGUUGAAAAACGUGGUGAUGAGGUGUGGAUAGGGGAGAAAUUCCAAUCGAACCCGGAGAUAGCUGGUUCUCCUCGAAAUAGCUUUAGGGCUAGCCUCGAGCUGGAGUCUAACGGAGGUAAAGCACUGAACUGACGCGGGGCCCAAAAAGGUUACCAACUCAUAUCAAACUAAGAAUGCCGUCAAGAUACCCUCGGGAGUCAGUCUGCGUGAGAUAAGUCGCGUGGACAAAAGGGAAAGAGCCCAGACCGACAGCUAAGGUCCCAAAGUACGUGUUAAGUGGAAAAGGAUGUGGGAUUUCAUAGACAACUAGGAUGUUGGCUUAGAAGCAGCCAUACAUUUAAAGAGUGCGUAAUAGCUCACUAGUCGAGAAAACCUGCGCCGAAAAUGUAACGGGGCUAAAACACGACACCGAAGCUACGGAUUCCUUACUAAGUAAGGAGUGGUAGAGGAGCAUCCUGCAAGGACGAAGCCAAAGUGAGAGCGAUGGUGGACGAAACAGGAGAGAGAAUGCCGGAAUGAGUAGCGAGAUACAUGUGAGAAACAUGUAGGCCGAAUAUCUAAGGAUUCCUGGGUAAAGCUAAUCUUCCCAGGGUUAGUCGGGGCCUAAGGCGAGGACGAAAGUCGUAGUCGAUGGAUAACAGGUUGAUAUUCCUGUACUACACAUAAUCAGAACUGUGGGGACGCAGGAGGAUAGGGAAACCGGGGAAUGGAAAGACCCGGUCAAGCGUAAAGCUGUGGGAGAUAGGCAAAUCCGUCUCUUGUAAGUGAAACGUGAUGAGGACUGAAAAAAAGUAAGGAAGUUUCCGAAUCCACACUGCCGAGAAAAGCCGCUAUUGCGUUAUGUGUACCCGUACCGUAAACCGACACAGGUAGAUGAGGAGAAAAUCCACAGGCCGACGGGAGAAGUGUUGUUAAGGAACUCGGCAAAAUGACCCCGUAACUUCGGGAUAAGGGGAGCCUCGCAAGAGGCCGCAGAAAAGAGGCACAAGCAACUGUUUAGCAAAAACAUAGGUCUAUGCGAAACCGUAAGGUGAAGUAUAUGGGCUGACGCCUGCCCGGUGCUGGAAGGUUAAAAGGAGAGGUCAGCGCAAGCGAAGCUUUGAAUUCAAGCCCCAGUAAACGGCGGCCGUAACUAUAACGGUCCUAAGGUAGCGAAAUUCCUUGUCAGGUAAGUUCUGACCCGCACGAAAGGCGUAAUGAUUUGUGCACUGUCUCGACAACACGCCCGGUGAAAUUGAAGAACCAGUGAAGAUACUGGUUACCCGCAACAGGACGGAAAGACCCCAUGGAGCUUUACUGCAGCCUGAUACUGGGAUUCGAUGAUAUAUGUACAGGAUAGGUGGGAGGCUAAGAAGCGAGAACGCUAGUUUUCGUGGAGCCGCCGGUGGGAUACCACUCUUAUGUCAUUGAAUUUCUAACCUGCAUCCGUAAUCCGGGUGAGGGACAAUGUCAGGCGGGCAGUUUGACUGGGGCGGUCGCCUCCUAAAAGGUAACGGAGGCGCUCGAAGGUCACCUCAGAAUGAUUGGAAACCAUUCAAAGAGUGUAAAGGCAAAAGGUGGCUUGACUGCGAGAGCGACGGGUGGAGCAGGUACGAAAGUAGGACUUAGUGAUCCGGUGGUAAUAAGUGGGAAUGCCAUCGCUCAACGGAUAAAAGCUACCCU